AGGAUUCAAAAUAUAGUGGAAGGAUUAACAAUAGCCUCUUCAGCAAUAGGCAAAGAUGCCAAAAUACUUAUACACCGGAAAUCUUACCAGACAUUCCCUUCUCUUCAUCACUAUCUCCAUAGUUGUCUUGGUCAUUCCCAUUGUCCUGCUUAGAUACAGCUGAAUCCCGUUGUGGUGGAGCACUAGUAACACCAGUUACAGAUUGCUGAUAAAGAACCCCACCCGCAAUAGUCAUCAACAAACACCCUAAACCAAACGGACUAGCAUGCUUAUCCCAAAUAAGAACAUUAAUUGCAACAGUCAAAAACUUAUUCACAACCCCAGUUACUGUAAAAGCAGUAGCAGAUAUCGCCUUCCUCGCGGCAAAUCCAAAGAAACUAAUAAGCAAUCCAAACACACACGACAACGAAACCGCCACAAGCGCAACAGGAUGAAACAAAUUCCCUUUUCCAUUCAAUCCCAUCGCAAUAAACACAUCAACAUACUCCCCAGUAAUAAUCCAAA
This 504-nucleotide unclassified non-coding RNA is filed under the name Hevea brasiliensis (rubber tree). The record is from RNAcentral. Lineage: Eukaryota; Viridiplantae; Streptophyta; Magnoliopsida; Malpighiales; Euphorbiaceae.